RNAcentral lists this ribosomal RNA (329 nucleotides) under uncultured Lachnospiraceae bacterium. Its description in RNAcentral is "partial 16S ribosomal RNA". The record is from RNAcentral. Lineage: Bacteria; Bacillati; Bacillota; Clostridia; Lachnospirales; Lachnospiraceae.
GGAGUUUGGGCCGUGUCUCAGUCCCAAUGUGGCCGUUCACCCUCUCAGGCCGGCUACUGAUCGUCGACUUGGUGAGCCGUUACCUCACCAACUAUCUAAUCAGACGCGGGUCCAUCUUACACCGAUAAAUCUUUUCACACUGUAUCAUGCGAUACCGUGCGCUUAUGCGGUAUUAGCAGUCGUUUCCAACUGUUGUCCCCCGGUAUGGGGCAGAUUGCCCACGCGUUACUCACCCGUCCGCCACUAAGUCAUAAGGUCUUCAUUCCGAAGAAAUCAAACCAAAUGCUUCGUUCGACUUGCAUGUGUUAAGCACGCCGCCAGCGUUCAUC